CCUACGGGUGGCAGCAGUGAGGAAUAUUGGUCAAUGGUCGCAAGCCUGAACCAGCCAAGCCGCGUGAGGGAAGAAGGUCCAAUGAAUCGUAAACCUCUUUUGUAAGGGAACAAAGCCAGUUACGCGUCCCCGUCUGAGUGUACCUUACGAAUAAGCAUCGGCUAACUCCGUGCCAGCCGCCGCGGUAAUACGGGGGGUGCGAGCUUUAUCCGGAUUUAUUGGGUUUAAAGGGUGCGGAGGCGGGCUGUUAAGUCAGCGGUCAAAGCCCGAGGCUCAACGCCGGCACUGCCUUUGAAACUGGCAGGCUAGAGAGGGGGAGAAGUAGGCGGAAUGCAUGGUGUAGCGGUGAAAUGCAUAGAGAUCGUGCAGAACUCCGAUUGCGAAGGCAGCAUGCCGGGACAAAACUGACGCUGAGGCACGAAAGCGUGGGUAGCGAACAGGAUUAGAUACCCGUGUAGUC
Molecule: ribosomal RNA, 460 nt
Filed under: uncultured bacterium
Lineage: Bacteria
Description: partial 16S ribosomal RNA
Rfam family: Bacterial small subunit ribosomal RNA
Source: RNAcentral